CCGCCCGGCGGCCUAUGACACCGCGGAUCCCCCGACGUGGCCCCGCCCCCCGAGGCCGGGCGCACCUCUCUGAUUGGACGGGACACCCCCUCCGCUCUAUUGGCCGGCAGCGCCGGCGCGGGCCCCGCCCCCUCACGUUCCCACCAUGUGUGGUCCCCGCCCGGUAGCCGCUCGCCAGUGACGCAGGAUGGCGCUGCCGCCCGCCCUGCGUGGGCUGAGUCUGGAGGGACCCCGGAUCUCCUACGCGUUUCGCGUUCCCCGCCUGCUUCUGGGAAGGACAGGGGUUGCGGUGACUCCCGCUGGUGGCUGAUAGACCUGUCACCAGGCCCGUACUUGCGGUUCGUUGUACUGUUCACAUGCCAAGCUGAGCGGUGAUUGCCUUACACAAACUGCCCUAUUUUCUAUUCUCAUCUCAUCCCGGUUACGUUCAUUCCACAAGCCCGGAUGAAACAGAUGCUUGUUAGUCUUAUUCUGCCGAUGAGGCAAGCUUAGGGCGCCCCAGUUUGAAUGGCUUGCGCAAUACCGUGAAUCCAGUAAGAUUCCGCUCUGAAAUUUCCGAUUUCAAAGCUUCUACUUUUAACUCACUUUCUCGCAGAGAAUCUUGGCAUUUGCAUGCAGCAAGGCAUAAGGAUGAAGAAGAAGCCCUUCUAUGCGGCAGAAUAGACACAGUGCCGUUAUCGUCUACAACUCUGAACUGGAUUCCGUGUGGGAAUCUGAGAUGUGGAGGGCAUUAUUACCCUACCUCUUCUUUGGAAGCCCUAUGAUUCUUUGGAGAUUCUAGCACAGUAUUUGCAGAUUGAUCGAGUGCAGCAAAUACUGCAUCUGCCCUAAGAUGGCCUGAGUGGGCAGGAGUGCUAGAGCGGAGGACUGUUUCCAUUUGUCCUUGUGUUGGUCCCGUGCUCAGAACCCUUCCUCAACCUGGGAAUGAGCAAUGAAAGAAUCUAGAAUUUAGUCAGCAAUGUAAUGGUGCUAAUUGGCACCACUCUCCAACCAGAGCGUCACUGUGAUCCUCAUUUCCAGAGCUUUGUACAUGUUGUUCCCUCAUAAAAAUCACACGCCCCAGCCCACAGCCUUUGCAUCUCCUGUUUUCCCUGUGGCAGCUGUCAUUUUCCAGCUUCCCGGAUCUAGCGUGCACAGCGCCUCAUCUCAAUUGGUGCUCUGUUUGAUCACUGGCCUUAGCUCACACUAGUGGAAUUUCUUAGCUAUGGUAUGUCUGCUCCAUCACGCUAUAAGCCCAGACAUGCAGGGACCUUGGCUAAGUUACAGUCAGUGUCAUUUCCCAGGUCUAGCUCAGUACUUGGCACUGAGGGAUCACAUGAAUCAAAAGGAAGAGACUCAGACUGGCCAGUGCCUUCAAGUCUAUCCCAGUGUCUACCUGGCCCUCACCUUUUUUAAUCUCCUCUGCAAGUGUUUGCUGAGUGAACUGAUGUCCCACAUUAAAUGUGUUUUUUAUUAUAUUCAA
Molecule: non-coding RNA, 1462 nt
Organism: Peromyscus maniculatus bairdii (prairie deer mouse)
Lineage: Eukaryota; Metazoa; Chordata; Mammalia; Rodentia; Cricetidae
Source: RefSeq, a predicted model, not a curated record